This 415-nucleotide long non-coding RNA is filed under the name Mus musculus (house mouse). RNAcentral's name for it is "predicted gene, 47833". The record is from RNAcentral. Lineage: Eukaryota; Metazoa; Chordata; Mammalia; Rodentia; Muridae.
GAAUCUGCCCUUUCAUCUUAAGGAUACAUUUAGACAUACUUUUUAAUGUCACUGAUAAGGAAGCAUAUUGAAUUCUAGCACUCAGAGAAACCUGAACACAUAUAUGUCAGACAAUGAAGCAUAGGAAGAACAACAAUUUCAACGAAACAGAACCUCCAGAGCCCCCACAGACUAAACUACCAACCACAGAGUACACAUGGAGCGACCCAUGACUCCAGCUGCAUAUGGAGCAGAGGGUGACCUUAACCAGCAUCAAUGAGAGGGGAGCCCCUCCGUCCUGUGAAGAGUUCAGUCUGAAUUUUUUUAAAGAAUUUGUAGUUUCAUCAAAAUAGAGACAAUCAAUACAAGGCAACAAGGAUCCUGAGGACAAAAGAAAGAUACAAUCAAAACAAAGCAAACAAAAUAACAACAAAAA